RNAcentral lists this ribosomal RNA (367 nucleotides) under uncultured bacterium. Its description in RNAcentral is "bacterial SSU rRNA". It matches the Rfam family "Bacterial small subunit ribosomal RNA", at positions 531 to 896 of the family's 1533-position model. The record is from RNAcentral.
GGUGCAAGCGUUACUCGGAAUUACUGGGCGUAAAGCGUGCGUAGGUGGUGAGUUAAGUCUGUCGUGAAAGCCCCGGGCUCAACCUGGGAAUGGCGAUGGAUACUGGCUCGCUAGAGUGCGGUAGAGGAGAGUGGAAUUCCCGGUGUAGCAGUGAAAUGCGUAGAGAUCGGGAGGAACAUCAGUUGCGAAGGCAGCUCUCUGGACCAGCACUGACACUGAGGCACGAAAGCGUGGGGAGCAAACAGGAUUAGAUACCCUGGUAGUCCACGCCCUAAACGAUGCGAACUGGACGUUGGGAGCAAUCAGGCUCUCAGUGUCGAAGCUAACGCGUUAAGUUCGCCGCCUGGGGAGUACGGUCGCAAGACUG